Non-coding RNA from Anolis sagrei ordinatus, 528 nucleotides. NCBI's taxonomy places the organism in Eukaryota, Metazoa, Chordata, Lepidosauria, Squamata, Anolidae. The record is from RefSeq and is a predicted model, not a curated record.
UUUUUUUCCUGCCGGCUCGCCUGGCCCCGCCCCCCGGGGCCUCCCUGGGCCAAUGGGAGCCGAGGGGGCUGGCUCGAGGACGCCGGGGCUCCCGUCGCGCGGCCUCGGACCCGGGACUCAGUCUGCGCGAGGGAAGCCACGAGGACGGGACGGGCAAGAAGCUGCAUGCACAGGAAGCGGGGCUGGGGGCGCCUCUCCUGGACCUUCUCUCCAUUGCGGAGGUCGGCGACAGACAGCUCUUCCAAAGCCAAGGGGAUUGCUCUUUUCUUCUCUCUCUCUCCCUCCCUCCUUCCCUCUCUCUUUCCCCCCUUCCCCCUUCAAAACGCGUUGUCUCUGGCUCUGCAAACCGUGAGCUAACCGCAGCCUUGGAUUGAUCCAAGGGACCCUGGUUUUCGUCCUGUGAAGUGAUGUCAGACACCAGCAAAUAAAUCAUUCUUUCACCAGAAAUGUUGUAAUAAAGGGCUGUGAAAGAUGUGAAUCUUGUUCCUGGCAAGAAAAACACAAAGAAAGAUUUCCACAGGAAAACCA